This 301-nucleotide ribosomal RNA is filed under the name uncultured bacterium. RNAcentral describes it as "partial 16S ribosomal RNA". It matches the Rfam family "Bacterial small subunit ribosomal RNA", at positions 509 to 808 of the family's 1533-position model. The record is from RNAcentral.
CAGUAGCCACGGUAAUACGAAGGGUGCAAGCGUUAAUCGGAAUUACUGGGCGUAAAGCGUGCGUAGGCGGUGAGUUAAGUCUGCUGUGAAAUCCCCGGGCUCAACCUGGGAAUGGUAGUGGAUACUGGCUCGCUAGAGUGUGUCAGAGGAUGGUGGAAUUCCCGGUGUAGCGGUGAAAUGCGUAGAGAUCGGGAGGAACAUCAGUGGCGAAGGCGGCCAUCUGGGGCAACACUGACGCUGAGGCACGAAAGCGUGGGGAGCAAACAGGAUUAGAUACCCCGGUAGCCCUGUCUCUUAUACC